AUCUGUGUUACCUGUACGGUCUAGGUUGUUCUCUAGAAGAGAGGAGUGAACUAGAGUCCAUAUCUGUGUUACCUGUACGGUCUAGGUUGUUCUCUAGAAGAGAGGAGUGAACUAGAGUCCAUAUCUGUGUUACCUGUACGGUCUAGGUUGUUCUCUAGAAGAGAGGAGUGAACUAGAGUCCAUAUCUGUGUUACCUGUACGGUCUAGGUUGUUCUCUAGAAGAGAGGAGUGAACUACAGUCCAUAUCUGUGUUACCUGUACGGUCUAGGUUGUUCUCUAGAAGUGGUGCAGCUCUGAGUGACUUUCACAGCAACACUGAGACAUGUCCUUAAAGGAAACACAAAGCAUUCUCCAAGGGUUUUGGUGAAUGUGUUUGUCUGUGCAGUGUGUGUGUGUGUGUGUGUGUGUGUGUGUGUGUGUGUGUGUGU
Molecule: long non-coding RNA, 428 nt
Filed under: Salmo salar (Atlantic salmon)
Lineage: Eukaryota; Metazoa; Chordata; Actinopteri; Salmoniformes; Salmonidae
Description: lncRNA (ENSSSAG00000109358.1)
Source: RNAcentral